GGGCUGGGGCUCAGUGGUAGAGUGCUUGCCAAGCAUGUGUGAUGUCCUGGGUUCAAUCCUCAGCACCACA
RNAcentral lists this transfer RNA (70 nucleotides) under Marmota monax (woodchuck). RNAcentral's name for it is "tRNA.Undet". The record is from RNAcentral. Lineage: Eukaryota; Metazoa; Chordata; Mammalia; Rodentia; Sciuridae.